RNAcentral lists this ribosomal RNA (1284 nucleotides) under Acinetobacter baumannii. RNAcentral's name for it is "bacterial SSU rRNA". It matches the Rfam family "Bacterial small subunit ribosomal RNA", at positions 56 to 1336 of the family's 1533-position model. Lineage: Bacteria; Pseudomonadati; Pseudomonadota; Gammaproteobacteria; Moraxellales; Moraxellaceae. The record is from RNAcentral.
UGCAGUCGAGCGGGGGAAGGUAGCUUGCUACUGGACCUAGCGGCGGACGGGUGAGUAAUGCUUAGGAAUCUGCCUAUUAGUGGGGGACAACAUCUCGAAAGGGAUGCUAAUACCGCAUACGUCCUACGGGAGAAAGCAGGGGAUCUUCGGACCUUGCGCUAAUAGAUGAGCCUAAGUCGGAUUAGCUAGUUGGUGGGGUAAAGGCCUACCAAGGCGACGAUCUGUAGCGGGUCUGAGAGGAUGAUCCGCCACACUGGGACUGAGACACGGCCCAGACUCCUACGGGAGGCAGCAGUGGGGAAUAUUGGACAAUGGGGGGAACCCUGAUCCAGCCAUGCCGCGUGUGUGAAGAAGGCCUUAUGGUUGUAAAGCACUUUAAGCGAGGAGGAGGCUACUUUAGUUAAUACCUAGAGAUAGUGGACGUUACUCGCAGAAUAAGCACCGGCUAACUCUGUGCCAGCAGCCGCGGUAAUACAGAGGGUGCGAGCGUUAAUCGGAUUUACUGGGCGUAAAGCGUGCGUAGGCGGCUUAUUAAGUCGGAUGUGAAAUCCCCGAGCUUAACUUGGGAAUUGCAUUCGAUACUGGUGAGCUAGAGUAUGGGAGAGGAUGGUAGAAUUCCAGGUGUAGCGGUGAAAUGCGUAGAGAUCUGGAGGAAUACCGAUGGCGAAGGCAGCCAUCUGGCCUAAUACUGACGCUGAGGUACGAAAGCAUGGGGAGCAAACAGGAUUAGAUACCCUGGUAGUCCAUGCCGUAAACGAUGUCUACUAGCCGUUGGGGCCUUUGAGGCUUUAGUGGCGCAGCUAACGCGAUAAGUAGACCGCCUGGGGAGUACGGUCGCAAGACUAAAACUCAAAUGAAUUGACGGGGGCCCGCACAAGCGGUGGAGCAUGUGGUUUAAUUCGAUGCAACGCGAAGAACCUUACCUGGCCUUGACAUACUAGAAACUUUCCAGAGAUGGAUUGGUGCCUUCGGGAAUCUAGAUACAGGUGCUGCAUGGCUGUCGUCAGCUCGUGUCGUGAGAUGUUGGGUUAAGUCCCGCAACGAGCGCAACCCUUUUCCUUACUUGCCAGCAUUUCGGAUGGGAACUUUAAGGAUACUGCCAGUGACAAACUGGAGGAAGGCGGGGACGACGUCAAGUCAUCAUGGCCCUUACGGCCAGGGCUACACACGUGCUACAAUGGUCGGUACAAAGGGUUGCUACACAGCGAUGUGAUGCUAAUCUCAAAAAGCCGAUCGUAGUCCGGAUUGGAGUCUGCAACUCGACUCCAUGAAGUCGGAAUCGCU